GAUUGCAUUCCACCAUCCAAUACCAGUACACCAUUGCAGGGUUCGAAUAAUAUACCUUUCAUACCUGUGAAUUUGGACUCAGAUGCAGAACAUAGUGUUCAAGACAUCAAUAGUCCUGAAAAGAAUGCACCUCCAAUACAAAAACCCAAAAAGGCUAAGGAACAAAACUUUACUAGCCCUGAAGAUCUUCUACUUUGCACAACGUGGUUGCAAAUUAGCAGUGACCCUGUUGUGCACACUGGCCAACGUAGGGAGGGCCUUUGGGCUAGAAUUGAAAAAAGAUACAACGAACAGAGGGGGAACUUUCCUUGCCGAGUGAACAGAGCGCUUAGCAGCAGAUGGGAUAAGAUAAGAGCAGAUGUAAGUAAGUUUGCUGGAUACUAUUCAAGAGUUCUUAGAGAGAAACAAAGUGGGUUAACUGAUGACGACAAGACUUCGAAGGCCGCAACAUUAUUUGCACACGAGGAGAACAAAAAUUUCCAGUACAUGCAUUGCUGGCACCAACUAAAGGGAGAACCGAAAUGGGAG
RNAcentral lists this unclassified non-coding RNA (528 nucleotides) under Zea mays. Its description in RNAcentral is "misc RNA Zm00001eb233660". The record is from RNAcentral. Lineage: Eukaryota; Viridiplantae; Streptophyta; Magnoliopsida; Poales; Poaceae.